Molecule: ribosomal RNA, 420 nt
Filed under: bacterium
Lineage: Bacteria
Description: partial 16S ribosomal RNA
Rfam family: Bacterial small subunit ribosomal RNA
Source: RNAcentral
UGGGGGAUAUUGCACAAUGGGCGAAAGCCUGAUGCAGCGACGCCGCGUGGGGGAUGAAGGCUUUCGGGUUGUAAACCUCUUUCGCUAUCGAACAAGGCCCACUUAGGGUGGGUUGAGGGUAGGUGGAGAAGAAGCGCCGGCUAACUACGUGCCAGCAGCCGCGGUAAUACGUAGGGCGCGAGCGUUGUCCGGAAUUAUUGGGCGUAAAGGGCUUGUAGGCGGCUUGUUGCGCCUGCUGUGAAAACGCGGGGCUUAACUUCGCGCGUGCAGUGGGUACGGGCAGGCUUGAGUGUGGUAGGGGUGACUGGAAUUCCAGGUGUAGCGGUGGAAUGCGCAGAUAUCUGGAGGAACACCGAUGGCGAAGGCAGGUCACUGGGCCAUUACUGACGCUGAGGAGCGAAAGCAUGGGUAGCGAACAGG